RNAcentral lists this ribosomal RNA (441 nucleotides) under uncultured bacterium. Its description in RNAcentral is "bacterial SSU rRNA". It matches the Rfam family "Bacterial small subunit ribosomal RNA", at positions 28 to 489 of the family's 1533-position model. The record is from RNAcentral.
GAUGAACGCUGGCGGCGCGCCUAACACAUGCAAGUCGAACGGCACCUGCCUUCGGGCAGAAGCGAGUGGCGAACGGCUGAGUAACACGUGGAGAACCUGCCCCCUCCCCCGGGAUAGCCGCCCGAAAGGACGGGUAAUACCGGAUACCCCGGGGUGCCGCAUGGCAUCCCGGCUAAAGCCCCGACGGGAGGGGAUGGCUCCGCGGCCCAUCAGGUAGACGGCGGGGUGACGGCCCACCGUGCCGACAACGGGUAGCCGGGUUGAGAGACCGACCGGCCAGAUUGGGACUGAGACACGGCCCAGACUCCUACGGGAGGCAGCAGUGGGGAAUCUUGCGCAAUGGGGGGAACCCUGACGCAGCGACGCCGCGUGCGGGACGGAGGCCUUCGGGUCGUAAACCGCUUUCAGCAGGGAAGAGUCAAGACUGUACCUGCAGAAGAA